AUUUCAGUCUCUGGGUAGAAAUUGGGAAGCUCAGUCCGAUUUCCACCGGAGCCUAACCCAUUCAGCUCUCCCACUUUUCAUGGCUUCAGAAGCAACACUCCCUCCUCCCUCUGGGAAAAAGAGGGGAUCCUUUCCUCUGAUGGAAAAGGGGGUGUAGGGAAGGGGGAGGAAUCCAUCAUUAACUUUCUCGGGGAAAAAAAAAACUGCUCCGCUGUCUAUCCAAUCAACCUAUGUGCAUCAGGAUUUAAUAUUAAGGGAAGAAAAGGAGAUGGGGAAAGGUACCCUCUGAAUCUUCACUGAACAGUUCAUACGUCCUAGAUAGAAAUCCCCCUCUAUCACUACCAGGAAACUUAAAAGAGCAUCUUGCUCGCAUCCACCACCGCCGCAACCCCCUCCUUGGAGAAGCUGCUACUGAACAGAGCAGGCAGCUCCCCAAAAGCUGGCGUUACAAUUGCAUCAACCCUUCCUUUCCUUCACCAGUCCCUCUGUUUCUUCUCUCUUCCCCUCUCCUGAGCCCCUACCUUGCAACGCAGCUUGGGCUCCCAGAGGUAAAAGUGCGCGGCACGCUCCUUGGCUCUCGCCGCCUCUGUCCGCGAGGCUUGCCCCACGCGGGGUGCUGGGCUCCAGCGAGGAAGGCUCGGCCCGGGCUGACUCCUCUGCUCCGGUUCCUUCUCCCGCGCGCGCAGUUAGGGAGGGGUAAGGGGGAAAACUCCCGGCAACUCCAACUCUAGUCACUGGGGCUCCAGCUGCUGCCGCCCGCCAGCCGCGGAGUGCAAACGCUUGUAAUGCAAACCUGCCCCCGCUGGCGGACUCUGAGCAUGCCCAGUUUGGCUGCUAACAACAGCUACCUUGCCCGGGGCAAAGGGCUGUGGGGUGUCCUCGGCCCUCCUGCAAACCCUUCGGGGAGGCGGGGAGGCGGGAGGCAUCUGGGUGUGGGCAGAGUUGGAGUUAGGUUCGAGAUUGGGCUGAGACAGUGCCUGGUGGACUCCUGGAAAGGCAGAGAGACUUCUGGAUCUGGAAUAAGAAGACCUACUUUCAAUCUUGAAUCUGCCACAGUAUGACCGCCUGAAUAACCUUCUGUGAAGAGUGCAGUCUUCAAACAUGGGAGUUUCAAAAAUUGAAAGAGCAAGUCACACAGAUCUAGAAAUUGGAAUACAGACUGGGAUUUGCAGCUCAUGAAAUGCAAUGACCUAAGGAAUCAGGAAUAAUCUUUGGGAGUGAUCUUCGAGAUUAUAGCCCAGGAGAAGAUCUGUCUUGGAAGUCACAUAGGUGCUAGACAUGAACAUGAUUUGGUGGGACUAAUGGUAUAUAGGAACUAAACAAAGUUAUGAGCUUACCACUACACUCCCCACAACCUUUAUAUUCUUUUUCCACAGAUUAGUGACAUAGAGGACAUUAUGAUCCCAAAUAUUAAAAAUGUACAUUUGUUCUUGCUAAAACUUUGAAAUAAAUAUAUCUUUUUAAAAAAAGUUAAUUGAUCU
This 1481-nucleotide long non-coding RNA is filed under the name Monodelphis domestica (gray short-tailed opossum). RNAcentral describes it as "lncRNA (ENSMODG00000050283.1)". Lineage: Eukaryota; Metazoa; Chordata; Mammalia; Didelphimorphia; Didelphidae. The record is from RNAcentral.